UCAGUGAAAUUGAACUCGCUGUGAAGAUGCAGUGUACCCGCGGCAAGACGGAAAGACCCCGUGAACCUUUACUAUAGCUUGACACUGAACAUUGAGCCUUGAUGUGUAGGAUAGGUGGGAGGCUUUGAAGUGUGGACGCCAGUCUGCAUGGAGCCGACCUUGAAAUACCACCCUUUAAUGUUUGAUGUUCUAACGUUGACCCGUAAUCCGGGUUGCGGACAGUGUCUGGUGGGUAGUUUGACUGGGGCGGUCUCCUCCUAAAGAGUAACGGAGGAGCACGAAGGUUGGCUAAUCCUGGUCGGACAUCAGGAGGUUAGUGCAAUGGCAUAAGCCAGCUUGACUGCGAGCGUGACGGCGCGAGCAGGUGCGAAAGCAGGUCAUAGUGAUCCGGUGGUUCUGAAUGGAAGGGCCAUCGCUCAACGGAUAAAAGGUACUCCGGGGAUAACAGGCUGAUACCGCCCAAGAGUUCAUAUCGACGGCGGUGUUUGGCACCUCGAUGUCGGCUCA
Molecule: ribosomal RNA, 507 nt
Filed under: Escherichia coli
Lineage: Bacteria; Pseudomonadati; Pseudomonadota; Gammaproteobacteria; Enterobacterales; Enterobacteriaceae
Description: partial 23S ribosomal RNA
Rfam family: Bacterial large subunit ribosomal RNA
Source: RNAcentral